RNAcentral lists this ribosomal RNA (890 nucleotides) under Petroscirtes breviceps (striped poison-fang blenny mimic). Its description in RNAcentral is "partial 12S ribosomal RNA". It matches the Rfam family "Bacterial small subunit ribosomal RNA". Lineage: Eukaryota; Metazoa; Chordata; Actinopteri; Blenniiformes; Blenniidae. The record is from RNAcentral.
AUCCCUGUGAGAAUGCCCUAAUACUCCUAAAUAGGAGAAAAGGAGCGGGUAUCAGGCACGCUCUACGAAGCAGCCCAUGACGCCUUGUUUAACCACACCCCCAAGGGCUCGCAGCAGUGAUAAAUAUUAAGCAAUAAGUGAAAACUUGACUUAAUUAGAGCUUAAAGGGCCGGUAAAACUCGUGCCAGCCACCGCGGUUAUACGAGAGGCCCAAGCUGACAACUCUUCGGCGUAAAGGGUGGUUAAAAUAAUAACUUAUUAAAGUCAAACUCCUCCCUAACUGUUGUACGUAUUUGGAGGAAAGAGGUCCUACUACGAAAGUGACUUUAAACAAUUGAACCCACGAAAGCUAUGGCACAAACUGGGAUUAGAUACCCCACUAUGCUUAGCCCUAAACUUUUAUACUUAUUCACAAAAGUAUACGCCAGGGUAUUACGAGCAUAAGCUUAAAACCCAAAGGACUUGGCGGUGCUUAAUAACCCCCUAGAGGAGCCUGUUCUAGAACCGAUACCCCUCGUUAAACCUCACCCUUUCUUGCCUAACCCGUCUAUAUACCGCCGUCGUCAGCUCACCCUGUGAAGGUCCUAAAGUAAGCAUAAUCAGAAAUACCUUAAAACGUCAGGUCGAGGUGUAGCAUAUGAAAGGGGAAGAAAUGGGCUACAUUUCCUAUACUAGGACAUACGGAAUGUGUGUUGAAAUACACACUAUGAAGGAGGAUUUAGUAGUAAAUAGAAAAUAGAGAGUUCUAUUGAAGCUGGCCCUUAAGCGCGCACACACCGCCCGUCACUCUCCUCUAACCAAACACAAUUAAUUUACUAAAACAAUAAAAGGGACCAGAGGAGAUAAGUCGUAACAUGGUAAGUGUACCGGAAGGUGCACUUGGAAAAAAU